This 201-nucleotide ribosomal RNA is filed under the name uncultured bacterium. Its description in RNAcentral is "partial 16S ribosomal RNA". It matches the Rfam family "Bacterial small subunit ribosomal RNA", at positions 130 to 334 of the family's 1533-position model. The record is from RNAcentral.
CCCCUCCCCGGGAUAGCCGCCCGAAAGGACGGGUAAUACCGGAUACCCCGGGGUGCCGCAUGGCACCCCGGCUAAAGCCCGACGGGAGGGGAUGGCUCCGCGGCCCAUCAGGUAGACGGCGGGGUGACGGCCCACCGUGCCGACAACGGGUAGCCGGGUUGAGAGACCGACCGGCCAGAUUGGGACUGAGACACGGCCCAG